GGGAAUAUUGGUCAAUGGAUGCAAGUCUGAACCAGCCAUGCCGCGUGCAGGAAGAAGGCCCUAUGGGUUGUAAACUGCUUUUGCCAGGGGAUAAAAUUUCCUUGCGAGGAAAAUUGAAGGUACCUGGUGAAUAAGCCACGGCUAACUACGUGCCAGCAGCCGCGGUAAUACGUAGGUGGCAAGCGUUGUCCGGAUUUAUUGGGUUUAAAGGGUGCGUAGGCGGUCUUAUAAGUCAGUGCUGAAAUAUCCCGGCUUAACCGGGAGGGUGGCAUUGAUACUGUAGGACUUGAGUAAAGUUGAGGUUGGCGGAAUUGACGGUGUAGCGGUGAAAUGCUUAGAUAUCGUCAAGAACACCGAUAGUGAAGACAGCUAACUAAGCUUUAACUGACGCUGAGGCACGAAAGUGUGGGGAUCAAACA
Molecule: ribosomal RNA, 419 nt
Filed under: uncultured bacterium
Lineage: Bacteria
Description: bacterial SSU rRNA
Rfam family: Bacterial small subunit ribosomal RNA
Source: RNAcentral